UACGGGGGGAGCAAGCGUUGUUCGGAUUUACUGGGCGUAAAGGGCGCGUAGGCGGUCGUGACAAGUCACUUGUGAAAUCUCCGGGCUUAACUCGGUAGCGGCCAAGUGAUACUGUCGGACUAGAGUGCGGAAGGGGCAACUGGAAUUCUCGGUGUAGCGGUGAAAUGCGUAGAUAUCGAGAGGAACACCUGCGGCGAAGGCGGGUUGCUGGGCCGAUACUGACGCUGAGGUGCGAAAGCGUGGGGAGCAAACAGG
Molecule: ribosomal RNA, 255 nt
Filed under: uncultured bacterium
Lineage: Bacteria
Description: partial 16S ribosomal RNA
Rfam family: Bacterial small subunit ribosomal RNA
Source: RNAcentral